Small nuclear RNA from Hirundo rustica (Barn swallow), 119 nucleotides. RefSeq annotates it as U5 spliceosomal RNA. The transcript has a single exon. NCBI's taxonomy places the organism in Eukaryota, Metazoa, Chordata, Aves, Passeriformes, Hirundinidae. The record is from RefSeq and is a predicted model, not a curated record.
UAACUCAGGUUUCUCUUCAGAUCGUAUAUAUUUUUCACCUUCUACUAAAGAUUUCCGUGGAGAGAACCAAGUACGAGUCAUAACAAAAUUUCGUGGCUUAAGAAAGAGCAAAUGCUUAG